CCUACGGGUGGCAGCAGUCGAGAAUCAUUCACAAUGGGGGAAACCCUGAUGCUGCGACGCCGCGUGGGGGAAUGAAGGUCUUCGGAUUGUAAACCCCUGUCAUGUGGGAGCAAAUUAAAAAGAUAGUACCACAAGAGGAAGAGACGGCUAACUCUGUGCCAGCAGCCGCGGUAAUACAGAGGUCGAAAGCGUUGUUCGGAAUCACGGGGCGUAAAGGGUGCGUAGGCUGUUUCGUAAGUCGUGUGUGAAAGGCGCGGGCUCAACCCGCGGACGGCACAUGAUACUGCGAGACUAGAGUAUGGGAGGGGUAACCGGAAUUCUUGGUGUAGCAGUGAAAUGCGUAGAUAUCGAGAGGAACACUCGUGGCGAAGGCGGGUUCCUGGACCUUAACUGACGCUGAGGCACGAAGGCCAGGGGAGCGAAAGGGAUUAGAUACCCGUGUAGUC
RNAcentral lists this ribosomal RNA (446 nucleotides) under uncultured bacterium. RNAcentral's name for it is "partial 16S ribosomal RNA". It matches the Rfam family "Bacterial small subunit ribosomal RNA", at positions 338 to 795 of the family's 1533-position model. The record is from RNAcentral.